AGAGUUUGAUCAUGGCUCAGAUUGAACGCUGGCGGCAUGCCUUACACAUGCAAGUCGAACGGCAGCAUGAUCUAGCUUGCUAGAUUGAUGGCGAGUGGCGAACGGGUGAGUAAUACAUCGGAGCGUGCCCUGUAGUGGGGGAUAACUAGUCGAAAGAUUAGCUAAUACCGCAUACGACCUGAGGGUGAAAGUGGGGGACCGCAAGGCCUCAUGCUAUAGGAGCGGCCGAUGUCUGAUUAGCUAGUUGGUGAGGUAAAGGCUCACC
Molecule: ribosomal RNA, 265 nt
Filed under: uncultured bacterium
Lineage: Bacteria
Description: partial 16S ribosomal RNA
Rfam family: Bacterial small subunit ribosomal RNA
Source: RNAcentral